GACGAACGCUGGCGGCGUGCUUAACACAUGCAAGUCGAACGGAAAGGCCCUGCUUUUGUGGGGUGCUCGAGUGGCGAACGGGUGAGUAACACGUGAGUAACCUGCCCUUGACUUUGGGAUAACUUCAGGAAACUGGGGCUAAUACCGGAUAGGAGCUCCUGCUGCAUGGUGGGGGUUGGAAAGUUUCGGCGGUUGGGGAUGGACUCGCGGCUUAUCAGCUUGUUGGUGGGGUAGUGGCUUACCAAGGCUUUGACGGGUAGCCGGCCUGAGAGGGUGACCGGCCACAGGGGGACUGAGAUACGGCCCAGACGCCUACGGGAGGCAGCAGUGGGGAAUAGUGCACAAUGGGCGGAAGCCUGAUGCAGCAACGCCGCGUGCGGGAUGACGGCCUUCGGGGUGUAAACCGCUUUCGCCUGUGACGAAGCGUGAGUGACGGUAAUGGGUAAAGAAGCACCGGCUAACUACG
RNAcentral lists this ribosomal RNA (466 nucleotides) under uncultured bacterium. RNAcentral's name for it is "partial 16S ribosomal RNA". It matches the Rfam family "Bacterial small subunit ribosomal RNA", at positions 28 to 505 of the family's 1533-position model. The record is from RNAcentral.